CCCGCCGCGCUCCGGCGUCUCCUCGGCGCGCCCGGCUCCCGGCUGUCCCCGCCCGGCGUGUGGGCCGGUGUAUGGGCCCCUCACCAUGUCGCUGAAGCCCCAGCAGCAGCAGCAGCAGCAGCAGCAGCAGCCCGCGGCCGCCAAUGCCCGCAAGCCCGGCGGCGGCGGCGGCCUUCUCACGUCGCCCGCCGCCGCGCCGUCUCCGUCCUCUUCCUCAGUCUCGUCGUCCUCGGCCGCGGCUUCCUCCUCCUCCUCCUCCUCCUCGGUGGCGGCGGCGAGCGCAGGCGGCGGGCGGCCGGGCCUGGGCAGAGGCCGAAACAGUAGCAAAGGACUGCCUCAAUCUACGAUUUCUUUUGAUGGAAUCUAUGCAAAUAUGAGGAUGGUUCAUAUACUUACAUCAGUUGUUGGAUCCAAAUGUGAAGUACAAGUGAAAAACGGAGGUAUAUAUGAAGGAGUUUUUAAAACAUACAGUCCUAAGUGUGAUUUGGUACUUGAUGCUGCGCAUGAGAAAAGUACAGAAUCCAGUUCGGGGCCAAAACGUGAAGAAAUAAUGGAGAGUAUUUUGUUCAAGUGUUCAGAUUUUGUUGUGGUACAGUUUAAAGAUAUGGACUCCAGUUAUGCAAGAAGAGAUGCUUUUACUGACUCUGCUAUCAGUGCUAAAGUGAAUGGUGAACACAAAGAGAAGGACCUGGAGCCCUGGGAUGCAGGUGAACUCACUACCAGUGAGGAACUGGAGGCUUUGGAAAAUGAUGUUUCUAAUGGAUGGGAUCCCAAUGAUAUGUUUCGAUAUAAUGAAGAAAAUUAUGGUGUAGUGUCUACAUAUGAUAGCAGUCUAUCUUCAUAUACGGUGCCCUUAGAAAGGGAUAACUCGGAAGAAUUUUUAAAACGAGAAGCAAGGGCAAACCAGUUAGCAGAAGAAAUUGAAUCAAGUGCCCAGUAUAAAGCCCGGGUGGCCCUGGAAAAUGAUGAUAGGAGCGAAGAAGAAAAAUACACAGCAGUUCAGAGAAAUUCCAGUGAACGUGAGGGCCACAACAUAAACACUAGGGAAAAUAAAUAUAUUCCUCCUGGACAAAGAAAUAGAGAAGUCAUAUCCUGGGGAAGUGGGCGACAGAAUUCACCGCGUAUGGGCCAGCCUGGAUCAGGCUCCAUGCCAUCGAGAUCCACCUCUCACACUUCAGAUUUCAACCCAAAUUCUGGUUCAGACCAAAGAGUAGUUAAUGGAGGUGUUCCCUGGCCAUCGCCUUGCCCAUCUCCUUCCUCUCGCCCACCUUCUCGCUACCAGUCAGGUCCCAACUCUCUUCCACCUCGGGCAGCCACCCCUACACGGCCGCCCUCCAGGCCCCCCUCGCGGCCAUCCAGACCCCCGUCUCACCCCUCUGCUCAUGGUUCUCCAGCUCCUGUCUCUACUAUGCCUAAACGCAUGUCUUCAGAAGGGCCUCCAAGGAUGUCCCCAAAGGCCCAGCGACACCCUCGAAAUCACAGAGUUUCUGCUGGGAGGGGUUCCAUUUCCAGUGGCCUAGAAUUUGUAUCCCAUACCCCACCAAGUGAAGCGACUGCUCCUCCAGCAGCAAGGACCAGUCCCGCAGGGGGCACAUGGUCAUCAGUGGUCAGCGGGGUUCCAAGAUUAUCCCCGAAAACUCACAGACCCAGGUCUCCCAGACAGAAUAGUAUUGGAAAUACUCCUAGUGGGCCAGUUCUUGCUUCUCCCCAAGCUGGUAUUAUUCCAGCUGAAGCUGUUGCUAUGCCUGUACCAGCUGCAUCUCCUACGCCUGCCAGUCCUGCAUCCAACAGAGCUGUAACCCCAUCUCUUGAGGCUAAAGAUUCCAGGCUUCAAGAUCAGAGGCAGAACUCUUCUGCAGGGAAUAAAGAAAAUAUGAAGCCCAGUGAGACAUCACCUAGCUUCUCAAAAGCUGAAAGUAAAGGUAUAUCACCAAUUGUUUCUGAACAUAGAAAACAGAUUGAUGAUUUAAAGAAAUUUAAGAAUGACUUUAGGUUACAGCCAAGUUCUACUUCUGAAUCUAUGGAUCAGCUGCUAAACAAAAGUAGAGAGGGAGAAAAAUCAAGAGAUUUGAUCAAAGACAAAAUUGAACCAAAUGCUAAGGAUUCUUUCAUUGAAAGUAGCAGCAACUGCACCAGUGGCAGCAGCAAGCCGAGCAGUCCCAGCAUUUCCCCUUCAAUCCUCAGUAACACAGAGCACAAGAGGGGACCUGAGGUCACAUCCCAAGGGGUUCAGACUUCCAGUCCAGGAUGUAAACAAGAGAAAGAUGAUAAAGAGGAGAAGAAAGACGCAGCUGAGCAAGUGAGGAAAUCAACGUUGAAUCCCAAUGCGAAGGAGUUCAACCCGCGUUCCUUUUCUCAGCCAAAGCCUUCUACAACCCCAACUUCGCCUCGUCCUCAAGCACAACCUAGCCCAUCUAUGGUGGGUCAUCAGCAGCCAACUCCAGUUUAUACUCAACCUGUUUGUUUUGCACCAAAUAUGAUGUAUCCAGUCCCAGUGAGCCCAGGAGUGCAACCUUUAUAUCCUAUACCUAUGACGCCCAUGCCUGUCAAUCAAGCCAAGACAUAUAGAGCAGGUAAAGUACCAAAUAUGCCCCAACAACGGCAAGACCAGCAUCAUCAGAGUACCAUGAUGCACCCAGCCUCAGCAGCAGGCCCACCAAUUGUGGCCACCCCACCAGCUUAUUCCACACAAUAUGUUGCCUAUAGUCCUCAGCAGUUUCCAAAUCAGCCUCUUGUUCAGCAUGUGCCACAUUAUCAGUCUCAGCAUCCUCAUGUCUAUAGUCCUGUAAUACAGGGUAAUGCUAGAAUGAUGGCACCACCAACACAUGCCCAGCCUGGUUUAGUAUCUUCUUCAGCAACUCAGUACGGGGCUCAUGAGCAGACGCAUGCGAUGUAUGCAUGUCCCAAAUUACCAUACAACAAGGAGACAAGCCCUUCUUUCUACUUUGCCAUUUCCACUGGCUCCCUUGCUCAGCAGUAUGCGCACCCUAAUGCUACCUUGCACCCUCAUACUCCACAUCCUCAGCCUUCAGCUACUCCCACUGGACAGCAGCAAAGCCAACAUGGUGGAAGCCAUCCUGCACCCAGUCCUGUUCAGCACCAUCAGCACCAGGCCGCCCAGGCUCUCCAUCUGGCCAGUCCACAGCAGCAGUCAGCCAUUUACCAUGCGGGGCUCGCACCAACCCCACCUUCCAUGACACCUGCCUCCAAUACACAGUCGCCGCAGAAUAGUUUCCCAACAGCACAACAGACCGUCUUUACGAUUCAUCCUUCUCAUGUUCAGCCGGCUUAUACCAAUCCACCCCACAUGGCCCAUGUACCUCAGUUCUGGUUCAAGGUAUCUCUAGAAAAAGACAAGACUGAGAGAUGUUCUCUUUGGUGGCUAGAGGUCUGCUUCAGAAGGAGGAAGGCCGGCCAGAGUUGGGCAGUGCCGAAAGUCCACAUCCUCACCCUGACGCUGAUUCUAAAUGAUCAAAGGCAGAAGAUUUAUACCAGAUAAAGCCAUAUGGAUUGCUGGUCUAAAAUUCAAGGCAGAUGUUUGUUCCCAGGGCCCAGGAGCUCUCAUCGUUUUCUCGGAAAGGAGAUCACCCCUUCAGUGCCCCCAUCUCCUCCACUUCCUCCUGUGAUAAAACUGCAGCUUUUCCUAAGAGCCAGGAGACAGACAGCAAGGCGCACCUGGAAAUACCACAGCUCCCACCAAGGCAGUACCGGCUGGGGAGGAGGAGACAAGAGGCAGGAGCAAAGGGUUGGUAUGGUGAUUGGGUGAACUAUUGCAAGUGAAAGAAAUACCUGAUAAACAGCUGUUGUUAAAUUUCCAGGCUGGGGUCUGAGGCCAGCCAAGAUGGGAAAAGCCUGCUUGGGUUGACUGCAGCGUUACAGUGCUCCUGUGUCACGUACGGUACUACAGCUUCCCCUGAGCACACACCUGCUUCCUCCCAGCCUUACAGACCCUGUUUGUGAUGUGCUCCCUUUCUACCUGCAACGAAGUUGACACAUAAUAUAACCUCCCUCCCUACAUACAUACCCUAAGUAAGAUAAAAGGGAA
This is an RNA transcript of Eubalaena glacialis (North Atlantic right whale), 4045 nucleotides long. It is a transcript of the gene named ataxin 2, with no coding region annotated. The record is from RefSeq and is a predicted model, not a curated record. The transcript has 28 exons. NCBI's taxonomy places the organism in Eukaryota, Metazoa, Chordata, Mammalia, Artiodactyla, Balaenidae.